CUACCAUCUCAGAACACAACACCUGCAACACAUGGACCUCACAGUCAGAGUGUCAAACAGUCACAGCCCUUAAGGCCAAACACAAUGCCAGACACACUAGUCAUUGGUGACUCCAUAGUCAGACACACUGACGUCCCGCUCACCAGACUGAGUA
Molecule: long non-coding RNA, 154 nt
Organism: Protopterus annectens (West African lungfish)
Lineage: Eukaryota; Metazoa; Chordata; Ceratodontiformes; Protopteridae
Exons: 3
Source: RefSeq, a predicted model, not a curated record